UGGGGAAUAUUGGACAAUGGGCGAAAGCCUGAUCCAGCCAUGCCGCGUGUGUGAAGAAGGUCCUCGGAUUGUAAAGCACUUUAAGUUGGGAGGAAGGGCAUUAACCUAAUACGUUAGUGUUUUUACGUUACCGACAGAAUAAGCACCGGCUAACUCUGUGCCAGCAGCCGCGGUAAUACAGAGGGUGCAAGCGUUAAUCGGAAUUACUGGGCGUAAAGCGCGCGUAGGUGGUUUGUUAAGUUGGAUGUGAAAUCCCCGGGCUCAACCUGGGAACUGCAUUCAAAACUGACUGACUAGAGUAUGGUAGAGGGUGGUGGAAUUUCCUGUGUAGCGGUGAAAUGCGUAGAUAUAGGAAGGAACACCAGUGGCGAAGGCGACCACCUGGACUAAUACUGACACUGAGGUGCGAAAGCGUGGGGAGCAAACA
This 427-nucleotide ribosomal RNA is filed under the name uncultured bacterium. RNAcentral describes it as "partial 16S ribosomal RNA". It matches the Rfam family "Bacterial small subunit ribosomal RNA", at positions 355 to 774 of the family's 1533-position model. The record is from RNAcentral.